This 238-nucleotide ribosomal RNA is filed under the name uncultured bacterium. RNAcentral describes it as "partial 16S ribosomal RNA". It matches the Rfam family "Bacterial small subunit ribosomal RNA", at positions 96 to 334 of the family's 1533-position model. The record is from RNAcentral.
CGGCGGACGGGUGAGUAACGCGUGGGUAACCUGCCUCAUACAGGGGGAUAACAGUUGGAAACGGCUGCUAAUACCGCAUAAGCGCACAGUACCGCAUGGUACGGUGUGAAAACCUCCGGUGGUAUGAGAUGGACCCGCGUCUGAUUAGGUAGUUGGUGGGGUAACGGCCUACCAAGCCGACGAUCAGUAGCCGACCUGAGAGGGUGACCGGCCACAUUGGGACUGAGACACGGCCCAA